AGAACGAACGCUGGCGGCAGGCUUAACACAUGCAAGUCGAACGCUCGUAGCAAUACGGGAGUGGCAGACGGGUGAGUAACACGUGGGAACAUCCCCCUCGGUUCGGAAUAACUCAGGGAAACUUGAGCUAAAUACCGGAUACGUCCGAGAGGAGAAAGAUUUAUCGCCGAGGGAUCGGCCCGCGUCUGAUUAGCUAGUUGGUGAGGUAACGGCCCACCAAGGCGACGAUCAGUAGCUGGUCUGAGAGGAUGACCAGCCACACUGGGACUGAGACACGGCCCAGACUCCUACGGGAGGCAGCAGUGGGGAAUCUUGGACAAUGGGCGCAAGCCUGAUCCAGCCAUGCCGCGUGAGUGAUGAAGGCCUUAGGGUUGUAAAGCUCUUUCGACGGGGACGAUAAUGACGGUACCCGUAGAAGAAGCCCCGGCUAACUUCGUGCCAGCAGCCGC
RNAcentral lists this ribosomal RNA (449 nucleotides) under uncultured bacterium. RNAcentral describes it as "SSU rRNA". It matches the Rfam family "Bacterial small subunit ribosomal RNA", at positions 26 to 518 of the family's 1533-position model. The record is from RNAcentral.